AAUCAGAGAAGUGGAUAAAAACGCACGCCUGUCUCCAUUGUCUCCUGUGAAUGAAACAGAGAAGCAGCAGAGGGUUUUUUAAUUUUUUAAUCUGGACUCGAUAUGUCAGCGUGAUUUGGGGUAAACACGUUUUCCAGUGUGCCUGUUUAAUUUCUU
Thalassophryne amazonica is the source of this 156-nucleotide long non-coding RNA. RefSeq lists it as uncharacterized. The transcript is spliced from 3 exons. Lineage: Eukaryota; Metazoa; Chordata; Actinopteri; Batrachoidiformes; Batrachoididae. The record is from RefSeq and is a predicted model, not a curated record.